This 420-nucleotide ribosomal RNA is filed under the name Triticum aestivum (bread wheat). Its description in RNAcentral is "partial small subunit ribosomal RNA". The record is from RNAcentral. Lineage: Eukaryota; Viridiplantae; Streptophyta; Magnoliopsida; Poales; Poaceae.
AUGCUUCCUCCGGCUCAGCAUGCAUGCUUGUUUCAUUUGAUUCAGGUGUGUGUUCUCCACCCGCAGCAACCGAUGUUUUUUCAGUUUUCAUUAGUCUCUAUCUUCGGAAGUAGUUUCGCAUGUACCUCUUCUCUAAAGGAAUGGAAAGUCGCAUACUGUCAAAGCGUUCCCUUUUCAGUCAAGUAUUUUGACUUAUAUCACUCAGCGGACAAUGCAUGGUUCCUUCAUGUUUGUAUUAUUUCUGUAUCUCAGUUUGUUUUUGAUUUAUCCCCUGCACAGGAUGAAGUGCCAAGUGUGUUUCUCCUACUGGCAAGACACGGAUGCGAACAGCACAUCGUUUCUUCACUUUUAGGUUUUCUGUAUUUCAUGGUUAGGUUCAGUGUUAUUUUCAGUCUUAUUCAGAUUUCAGUCUUUCUGUAG